CGCCUCCUGCUAAACAAAUAUAAGAGGUACUGCCUGCCCGGUGACAUCUGUUUAACGGCCGCGGUAUAAUGACCGUGCAAAGGUAGCAUAAUCACUUGUCUCUUAAAUAGAGGCCUGUAUGAAUGGCAAAACGAAAACCCAACUGUCUCAUCAAAUUAAUCAGUGAAAUUGAUAUUCCCGUGCAAAAGCGGAAAUAAUUAUAUAAGACGAGAAGACCCUACGGAGCUUAAAACCUAAAUUAAUAAUUAAAUAACAUGAUCCACGGCUUUAGGUUGGGGCGACCACGGAGGAUAAUAAAACCCCCGAGAUAUAUAAUUAAGAAAAACAAUUCAAAAUAACACUACAAUUGAUAUAAUUGACCCAAUAAUUGAUCAACGAACCAAGUUACCCUAGGGAUAACAGCGCAAUCCUCUCAUAGAGUCCAUAUCGACGAGCGGGUUUACGACCUCGAUGUUGGAUCAAGACUACCAAAUGGCGCAGUAGCUAUUUAAGGUUCGUUUGUUCAACGAUUAAAGUCCU
This 519-nucleotide ribosomal RNA is filed under the name Plethodon montanus (northern gray-cheeked salamander). RNAcentral's name for it is "partial 16S ribosomal RNA". It matches the Rfam family "Bacterial large subunit ribosomal RNA", at positions 1816 to 2597 of the family's 2925-position model. Lineage: Eukaryota; Metazoa; Chordata; Amphibia; Caudata; Plethodontidae. The record is from RNAcentral.